ACCGCAUUGGGCGUUAGGCCCGAACCUGAAGAAGGUGAAUCGACACACCUGACUGAGACCGUCCAGACUCUACCGGAAGCAGCAGUAGGGAUCCUCGCAUGACGAAGUCUGACGAGCAUCGCGCGUGAGGUGACGAAAGGCCUUCGGGUCGUAAAGCUCUGUUUGUUAGGGAAGAACAAGUACCGUUCGAAUAGGGCGGUACCUUGACGGUACCUAACCAGAAAGCCACGGCUAACUACGUGCCAGCAGCCGCGGUAAUACGUAGGUGGCAAGCGUUGUCCGGAAUUAUUGGGCGUAAAGCGCGCGCAGGCGGUCUUUUAAGUCUGAUGUGAAAGCCCACGGCUCAACCGUGGAGGGUCAUUGGAAACUGGAGGACUUGAGUGCAGAAGAGGAGAGUGGAAUUCCACGUGUAGCGGUGAAAUGCGUAGAUAUGUGGAGGAACACCAGUGGCGAAGGCGGCUCUCUGGUCUGUAACUGACGCUGAGGCGCGAAAGCGUGGGGAGCAAACAGGAUUAGAUACCCUGGUAGUCCACGCCGUAAACGAUGAGUGCUAGGUGUUGGGGGGUUCCACCCUCAGUGCUGAAGUUAACACAUUAAGCACUCCGCCUGGGGAGUACGACCGCAAGGUUGAAACUCAAAGGAAUUGACGGGGGCCCGCACAAGCAGUGGAGCAUGUGGUUUAAUUCGAAGCAACGCGAAGAACCUUACCAGGUCUUGACAUCCUCUGACAAUCCUGGAGACAGGACGUUCCCCUUCGGGGGACAGAGUGACAGGUGGUGCAUGGUUGUCGUCAGCUCGUGUCGUGAGAUGUUGGGUUAAGUCCCGCAACGAGCGCAACCCUUGAUCUUAGUUGCCAGCAUUCAGUUGGGCACUCUAAGGUGACUGCCGGUGACAAACCGGAGGAAGGUGGGGAUGACGUCAAAUCAUCAUGCCCCUUAUGACCUGGGCUACACACGUGCUACAAUGGACGGUACAAAGGGCAGCGACACCGCGAGGUGAAGCAAAUCCCAUAAAGCCGUUCUCAGUUCGGAUUGCAGGCUGCAACUCGCCUGCAUGAAGCCGGAAUUGCUAGUAAUCGCGGAUCAGCAUGCCGCGGUGAAUACGUUCCCGGGCCUUGUACACACCGCCCGUCACACCACGAGAGUUUGUAACACCCGAAGUCGGUGGGGUAACCUUUAUGGAGCCAGCCGCCGAAGGGGACAAU
Molecule: ribosomal RNA, 1204 nt
Filed under: Guptibacillus hwajinpoensis
Lineage: Bacteria; Bacillati; Bacillota; Bacilli; Caryophanales; Guptibacillaceae
Description: bacterial SSU rRNA
Rfam family: Bacterial small subunit ribosomal RNA
Source: RNAcentral